UACGAAGGGGGCUAGCGUUGUUCGGAAUCACUGGGCGUAAAGGGCGCGUAGGCGGCUUUAUAAGUCGGGGGUGAAAUCCUGGAGCUCAACUCCAGAACUGCCUUCGAUACUGGGAAGCUCGAGUCCGGGAGAGGUGAGUGGAACUGCGAGUGUAGAGGUGAAAUUCGUAGAUAUUCGCAAGAACACCAGUGGCGAAGGCGGCUCACUGGCCCGGUACUGACGCUGAGGUGCGAAAGCGUGGGGAGCAAACAGG
RNAcentral lists this ribosomal RNA (253 nucleotides) under uncultured bacterium. RNAcentral's name for it is "partial 16S ribosomal RNA". It matches the Rfam family "Bacterial small subunit ribosomal RNA", at positions 524 to 776 of the family's 1533-position model. The record is from RNAcentral.